RNAcentral lists this long non-coding RNA (359 nucleotides) under Rattus norvegicus (Norway rat). RNAcentral's name for it is "long non-coding RNA NONRATT029076". Lineage: Eukaryota; Metazoa; Chordata; Mammalia; Rodentia; Muridae. The record is from RNAcentral.
UAAGACCAAACUCUUGGGCUACCCAGCUAAGCAAAGAAGCCCAGAUUAUUCCUUCCUUGGCCAGGGCCCCACCCAGGGGUCAUCAGUUAGCACAGUGGUGCAGGGAAGUUGAGGGACAGAGGCCUACCCACACAGCCAGAGACCUGAGCAGAAGAAGGCCCAGGCACCCGGCGCCCACCCCACCGUGCACUUGGGUCAGAUGCAGCACAGACUGCCAGUUAAGUAAAGAGACAGCCAGUUGCCAACAGCGCUGGAAACCCAGGGAAAGCCCCCACUCGCUCACUGCACCGGAGUGCCGAUUAGAUGUAUAAUUGCUGAGCUUCCGUUUCAGAAUCUGUCCAAGGCAAGGAGACGACAAA